CCAGCGAACUUGGCAGAGAUGCCUUGGUGCCUUCGGGAACGCUGAGACAGGUGCUGCAUGGCUGUCGUCAGCUCGUGUUGUGAAAUGUUGGGUUAAGUCCCGCAACGAGCGCAACCCUUAUCCUUUGUUGCCAGCGAUUCGGUCGGGAACUCAAAGGAGACUGCCGGUGAUAACCGGAGGAAGGUGGGGAUGACGUCAAGUCAUCAUGGCCCUUACGAGUAGGGCUACACACAUGCUACAAUGGCGCAUACAAAGAGAAGCGACCUCGCGAGAGCAAGCGGACCUCAUAAAGUGCGUCGUAGUCCGGAUCGGAGUCUGCAACUCGACUCCGUGAAGUCGGAAUCGCUAGUAAUCGUGGAUCAGAAUGCCACGGUGAAUACGUUCCCGGGCCUUGUACACACCGCCCGUCACACCAUGGGAGUGGGUUGCAAAAGAAGUAGGUAGCUUAACCUUCGGGAGGGCGCUUACCACUUUGUGAUUCAUGACUGGGGUGAAGUCGUAACAAGGUAAGCGUAGCGAG
This 520-nucleotide ribosomal RNA is filed under the name uncultured bacterium. RNAcentral's name for it is "bacterial SSU rRNA". It matches the Rfam family "Bacterial small subunit ribosomal RNA", at positions 988 to 1509 of the family's 1533-position model. The record is from RNAcentral.